CCGCAAGACAAGAGCCAAGACCUCUCCUCCGCUCCGGCCCGCCUCCUCUCUCUCUGCGGACGGCCCUCCGUCCGCGUCACCAGCUCAGAUGAAGUCACGGGCCACUGAGCUGCUCUGCCUGCAGCCAGCCGGGCCGCCGGACCGCCGGACCUUUCCUCCCUCAUCGUUUCUGUCUGACUGCAGUUAGCGAAAGGCCAGAAGAGAAAUCAUUAAAAAGUGACAGACGCCUUUGGCUCCAUUUCCUGCCUCGUUUUCAAACUUCUGGUUUCUGUUAAAGGUCCGGUCCAUGAUGGAGCCAUCGCCGUGCUUCACAGUCUGAAACACAUUCAGUGACAGUUUCACUCCAUACAACAGGAUUUCAUAAGAAUCACAUUUGUUUUGAUGAAAAACGAGUCAAACUUUCACAGUGACAAUCUGAGAUGUUUCAUAAAACUGAAUUAAAAACUGCAGAGGAAACUGAAGUAAAGAAGCAAACGUUUCUAAAUGUCCACGUUUGUUCAGGGAGAACCGAACGUCUCCACAACGCAGGAAAAGUCUGAUGGGACAUAAACGGAGCAGUGCUGCGUUCAGGGAAACAUUUUACACCAAGCAGGCGGAUCCUAAACGGUUUGCAGCUUUACAGCAAACAACCUGCAGGGCAGCAAGGAAACGUUGGAGAUCAGGUUUCACUGCAGUCCGCCUGUCAAAGACGGAUGAACAGUUCAUCAAACUAACGGACAUGAAGGUUCCUCCUGCCUGCUUUCUCCUGACGGAUCAAUUUAAACCUGGUCUUCAUUAACUUGACUUUAUCCGUCCAAACCGUUUCAUCUGGACAGGAGAAGAAGAGCUGGACGUUAACGCCCCGCUCGUUCUCCAGCCCUGCAGGACUUUGAUGGUCCAAAUCACCGAACCAUCAGAUGACAGGAAGAAAGAGCAUUUGACAAAUUGCUGUGGCGGCUCUGGAAGGCAGCGUCUGCAAAUUGGCUCUAAAUUCUCCCAUCAGUCAGAAGGAAGGUCCGAUCCUGCUGAUCAGAACCGGGUCGUUCUGGACCCUGAGCAGGCGCCGCUGACUUCAGCAGAAACAACCAACGAGGACAUGAAGACGUCCCCGGCAAACGGCAUCAUGGAGGAGCAUUGUGAAGAACGAAGGAAAGAGAAGGAGCUUCUUAAAGAGACAGAGCCCCAAUUUCACGGCAUCAAAUCGAGACGUCAGAUUUCUUUAAAAUCAUAUUUGACAUAUGCAGCAUUUUUAUAGUAACUUAUAUUAACAUAGUUACUAGAUUGUGCUGCAAAAUGGCGCUCUGCCUAGAAAAUAUAUAACACCGCCCCUUUAAGAGCCCAAACUGAACCUCAGAAAAAUGAAACUUAUGUUAUCAUUUUGCAAAAGAGGAAGUUUCAGAGAAACGGUUCCUGCCUGGUUUCCUGAACCACGUUUCACUUUUCCUAAAGUUUGGUUCC
Xiphophorus maculatus (southern platyfish) is the source of this 1437-nucleotide long non-coding RNA. RefSeq lists it as uncharacterized. The record is from RefSeq and is a predicted model, not a curated record. The transcript has 3 exons. NCBI's taxonomy places the organism in Eukaryota, Metazoa, Chordata, Actinopteri, Cyprinodontiformes, Poeciliidae.